Molecule: ribosomal RNA, 117 nt
Filed under: Danio rerio (zebrafish)
Lineage: Eukaryota; Metazoa; Chordata; Actinopteri; Cypriniformes; Danionidae
Source: RNAcentral
GCCGGCAGCUAGCUCUCUGCAACUCUCACAUGGUCGCCCACUGAAGCUAAGCAGGGCUGCGCCCGGUCAGUACCUGGAUGGAAGAGCACAUGGGAAGUCUUGUGGUCCAUCCCAGUU